Molecule: long non-coding RNA, 1202 nt
Organism: Oncorhynchus tshawytscha (Chinook salmon)
Lineage: Eukaryota; Metazoa; Chordata; Actinopteri; Salmoniformes; Salmonidae
Source: Ensembl
CUGCACAUGAAUGCGUCUUCAGGCCGCCAAGGGCGUGUCUUUGUUGUAUCAAUUCCUGGCGAGGAGGACGUGGCCUGGGGUUACUGGAUAGGAGAUGUGGGGUUCUGAGGUCUACAGGACAGGCCUUCAUGUGAACCAGGAAACGAGGACACAGAGAAGGACGUCCAUCACGGACAGUGUGGUCCUGAAAGGGACAACAAAAACAUAGUGAGGUCCUGAAAGGGACAACAAAAACAUAGUGAGGUCCUGAAAGGGACAUCAAAAACAUAGUGUGGGGCAGGGAGAGAGAGAAAGAAAGAUUAGAUGUAUCCUGUUUUCGAUCAAUCAAAUAAAAUCCCAGUUUCCAAAUACUGUAAAUAAAGCAACAUAAAGUCAUUCUCCACAUGCAACGUGAAGGAGAAUCACAGCAUUAAUUAAACGUGAUCACCAACGUACAGACAAUUCAAAUAAUGCACGUCAUCUUCAGUGCCCCCUUGUGUCUGAAGAUCAGAUCUCAGGCUACAUACAUUCUCAACACAGCAGGAGAAAGCUUCAACCUCUCCCUGCCUUUUUUAACAGCUUUCUUGACAACACACCCAGCCACCCACCCAGCCACCCACACACACACCCAGUCACCCACACACACACCCAGUCACCCACACACACACCCAGUCACCCACACACACACCCAGUCACCCACACACACACCCAGUCACCCACACACACACCCAGUCACCCACCCACACACACACUUCUGUGAGGAUGAUAAAGAUUCUUUGAGCACACAGGACAUGGUCCUAUUGCUAUUUAAACAAGGGUCGUGCUGAGAUAAAAGCAGGCGGGACGGUCAAUACUAAACUGGUGGGGGGGUGGGGCUGCACACGCCACGCUACCCGCUGCACGCCAGCCAGGGGAAAUUACUCAGCCCACAGACUCAGUGCCAGGGACUAAUUCACUCCCUCUCUGGCCUUUAGAGAACAAACACCCAAAUGUAAUAAAAUACCCACUGACACACACACACACACACACACACACACACACACACACACACACACACACAGAGAGAGGACAUUUAUUUGUCUUGGAUUCCCGGCUACAUCUGAGACACCUAAACAAAGUUCACAUCGUCUUUCAUCUAUCCCUUAACGCACAUAAACACACAACCACAGAAGCAGGCAUGAACGCACACGCACACACACACACACUAGGGAGUCUGUGGAGAU